CGAACGGACACGGUACGCUAGUUUCUAUAUAAGAGCCAAUAGAGAUUGCCUUUGCGCGCUUUUGCGCCAUGGGAAAAAACCCUGUCCGUCUCUGACACGGGGCCUCUGGUUUCGGAUCGGAUUAGGUUUCUCGAACAAACCCCAAUCGAUUGUGGCGAGUUGCGACAUGGCGACGAUCGCGUUCCGACUCCUCUCUCGCCGGACUCUCACCAGCGCCAUAGGCAAGGCCGCCGAGCACCUUCCUCAGGGUCGUUGGUCGUGGCGGUCCUAUCUGAUUGGCUUCGACGACACGGCGAUGGCCGAGGCCAAAAGGCGAUUAGGCCACGCGUCGUACAUGAAGCUGCUGGAGAAAGAGCAGGCAGCUGUCGACCGGACCCUCGGCCGCUUGGUUUUUGGGUCGGCCGUGGUUUCCUUCGGAUUGCUUCUUGCCAAGAUUUAUCCUCCUCCCCCGGCAAGCGGACGUACUACCACCCCUACUUCAGACGGGGUGUAGGGAAGAGAUCCCGGUUUCAUUUGGAUAUAUGAACGAGUAACAUGCUUUUCGGAUGCAAAUAAGAUGGGUGUAAUUCCUUUUUGAUGUAGCUCACCAUUCAUGCCGAAUGAUAAGAUGGGUGUAAUUCCUUUUUGAUGUACCUCAUCAUUCAGCCAAAUGAUAAGAUGGGUGUAAUUCUGAUAAUGUAUUCAACUGUCCAUAUAUACUACUAUCUCUG
Molecule: ribosomal RNA, 710 nt
Filed under: Triticum aestivum (bread wheat)
Lineage: Eukaryota; Viridiplantae; Streptophyta; Magnoliopsida; Poales; Poaceae
Description: partial small subunit ribosomal RNA
Source: RNAcentral